AGGAAUAUACAAAUCAUGGUACAAAACAAUUUCGCUUUCUAGAAUAGGCUUGAGAGGCGACGAUGGAUGAUGGGGCUCUUGAGAAAUACAAUCUUUGUUAAUAUUUAUUAGUAAUGUAUCCCAUGGAGAUAUUUCUUUGUUACAUUUACAGAGAUAUCGACACUUACUAACGUGUUCGAGCAUUCAACCAAUUGGAUGUUACCAUGACAAUUAUGAUGAUUGUGCUCUCCCUGUAUAUUACGCCAAUUUCCGAUCACAGAUUGUUUGGACAAGAAUGAAUCUGACGGUAAACCAAUCCGCACAGGUGGCUCUUGACACAAAGGGUAUUUAAGUGUUCAGUUUUACGGAGAGUGCUUCGAUAGAGAGAAUGCUGGUACAGCUUACUCCAAAUAUGGAAAAAGCGGUAACUGUUGGGUAUUCAAUGAUCAAAACGGACAUGCAGUUGGAGGUGACUUGACCAAUUUUGUCUAUCAAUUUCAACAGGUUGGUAUGCUGAAAAAUGCUAGGGCUGGACUAAUUCUUCAGAAAUGCAAACUUCUUCCAUUAAAAUUUUCAGUGCUCUGUUAAAAUGGAAGCUCAUAAGUAGAAGAUGGCGAGGGAGGGGAGGGGAGGAGGGGUUCCUGACUCCGUUUCAUGCACAAAUAUUAGAACAAUUCACGUGUCACGUGUACUUUAAGCAGUUUUUUACGCAGAAAAUUCCAAAUAUCACCUUCUCCUACCUUUCUCAUAAAUCCAUGCGUCACGUAUAAAUUUUGGGCUUGAUUAGGCACAAACCCUUCAGUCUGAUUCUGUGUGUCGCCAAGUUUUAAAUUUUGGACACUAGGGUCCGACUAGGGAUUUUGGACAAUGGUGUCCUAUGAUGGAUUUAAGACACUCGUGUCUGAUUUAGAUUUUGAGCAAUGGUGUCCGAUUUUGGAUUUGGACACUAGAGUCCGAUUAUGGAUUUUGGACACUAUUGUCCGCUUUGAAAUUUUGAACACUGGUGUCUGAUUUUGAUUUUAGAAACUACCGUCUGAGUUGCGUCAUGUGUUCUAUCUGAGCAAGUUACGCGUACGAUUUUUACGUGUGCGAGUUUGAGUAUUUCAGUUUUUGAGUCGCAAUUUUCGAGUUUUUUGGUGUUUUUUUGAGUUAACUGUGUUACCGUUCCGCCGUUUUUCACUCGAGUGAAACGUGCCUGCUUUUUAAAGAGAUUUCCGUUUCCGCUUCCGAACAACUACAGAUACUCCGAUUAACAGCGAGAUUCCAAAGACUGAGAGCUCCAGCUCAGAUAUAUAGAACACGGAACAUCGGAUGUAAUUUCGGUUAGGGUUUUUGGACGAAAAACACUUGUCAAAACAGAAGAACAAAUAAUAUCCGUCUUUAAAUCAUGAAAACGGUCGGAAAGAACUUUAUUCAUUAAUAAAUGCAUUUUUGAGGCUCCGGAAAUAUCUUAAAUUUAGACACGUAUGGUUUUCAUUUAAGGCCCCCUCAAAUGAUUAGACGAUAAAACAGAGAAGAAAGCCAGUGGAUGACCUAGUUUAAUCCUUUAGCAUUUUUCACGUGUACAAAUAUGUAAUUAUCUAUUAAAAGAAAUAUAAAUACGUUGCUAUCGUAGUUAUCGGUCACGUCAUCUUAAGGUGAGUUGAUAUCACGUGAAUAAUUAGGUUUUCUCCCUAAUUCUUUGGGGUUAUAUCGGUAGAGUUUAAAUUAAGGGCCUCACUUUUGUGCAGCCACACAAAAGAGAAUUUCCCUCUAAAGAGAUAGUUGUAGUUCUUAAAUAAAAGUACGUCUAUAUCUCUCCCAAUUCUUCAUCAUUAAACUUGGGUUUUAUCAAGGCCUUAGAUUGUCUACUUUUGUUUCGGGGUUUAAUUUUUCUGUCGUCUAAAAAACAAUCAAAGAUAUAUGCUAGGUCAUGGCAGUUUGUGUUAAUAAUCCUUUUGGUGUCAUAAGAAAGUUAAAGAGAUUUGGCACAGUGCUGAGAAAUCGAUUGCUUCGAUAAAGAUUGUAAUACAGCGCUAUAAACGCCGGAAAAAUAUUGAUCAUGUAGGCAAGACGUAGAGACGAGUUGUCGACAAACAUUCCAUAACAAUCAUUAGGAUAAGUGACUCACCCUGCAACUGAGGGAAAAUCACUAUUCGUUAUUUAAACUCAUAGGCCGUUUGUUCUUUCGAUUUACUCAUGUUAUUCACUUCGUCAUGGCUGUAAAUUUCUGCCUUUUACGACAAUCAUUCGAAUACAUAUGAUGGACCAUCCAACUAACAUUGAAAAAAUAAAUCUGUAAAUUAAAACUGAAACAUUUCACGCAGGACAAAAUUUACCUCCAUGUCUCAGUUGUAUCAUAGAAAAAAUUUCAUGGUAGUUUUUGGUCCACACUUUCUGUCUGAAGUACUUCCGAUAUAUUUUUUAGUUUUGAUUAAAGCAACAAUUCUGAUGUUGGAACUAUUUUUCCUCGCUGAAUAUACUUACAAUACAAUAGUUUAUUUACCCACGCUACAUCUAGGAGUGAUAAAAAUUCAUUAAAACGUGUGCGUGAAACGAAAAACAUUUUUAAAAAAAUCUUUUAAUCUAUUAAAUCUAUUAGAUCUAUCUAAAAAACCUGCUUCUUCUUUAAAAGACACUCAAAAGUAGAAAUAUCAUUGGCGUUUCUAACAUACGUAGGUAACGAAUUCCAAAGGAAAAAAAUUUAAAUAUGUUAGAUCUAUUAAAUCUAUCUAAAAAACCUGCUUCUUUAAAAGUAGAAAUAUCCUUCGCGUUACUAACAUACGUAGGUAACGAAUUCCAGAGUUUUGCUGCCAAAAAUGAGAAUGACUAAUGGCGCCAAUCUAGAUUAAAACUAGGUAGCGUUAAAAGUGUCUGCAACCCUCUUAGAUUAUAACUACAGAUUUCAGUCUUAAAGAAAUCUUCUUUGUACCUUGAGGGUUCUUUAUUAAUACAUUUAUAUACCAAAACUAGGACCUGGAAUUUUCUUCUUUCUUCUAACUUUCUUAUACCAGCCAUAUUAAAUAUAUAACAUAACUUGUAGAUCUGCAACCACAUCCUAGUCUUGAAAAAUAAUCGGCAACUUGAAACAACUUACCGUUAAAAAUCCUCGUAGAAGACAACCAUCUGUAAUCGAAGCCAAUCUGCAAUUAAAAGAAUUAAAUUAACCUCAGAGACUAUUUGGCUAAAUAAUGUUUUGGGAGCAAAUUCUGCUGGUUUUCUUUUGCGUGUAUCAAACCAAAACCUGCAUACAGAAGCUUCCUUCGCUUUCUUUUUUUUUUCACUUUGAGGUAGCCUUGUACAAUAUUUAAUAUUUACCGACGAAAUUUUUUAGAAGCGCCGACGUGAUGUCUAAGGUAUCUGUUGCUGAUAUUAAUUAGAUGUUAUGAAUCUCAUAUAGCCUUGAGGUAUUGGCAUUCAAUGACACCUUCCCAGAGAGAAAGGUCUUUUAAGUGGACUUUACUUAAAGAAAAAUGUACGCCCUUACAGCCUUUUUUCUUGUCACGUUUCUUGUUGCCUGCUAUGCUAACCCAUUGCCAGCGGAAUUCAGAGCGAAGCGACAAUUAACUACCGUAGAGCCGCCAGACCCUACACUACCAAUAUGUACCCCUAGUCAACUUGACCAGUUUGCCAGCUGUGAGGCUCUUCUGGAGCUUGGCAUCUGCGAUCCAGAAUCCGGUUUGUUCGACUUUGCAACUCAGAAUUGCUUCUUCUCUUGUGGAUUUUGU
RNAcentral lists this long non-coding RNA (3686 nucleotides) under Stylophora pistillata. Its description in RNAcentral is "uncharacterized LOC111343461". The record is from RNAcentral. Lineage: Eukaryota; Metazoa; Cnidaria; Anthozoa; Scleractinia; Pocilloporidae.